Molecule: long non-coding RNA, 2388 nt
Organism: Triticum aestivum (bread wheat)
Lineage: Eukaryota; Viridiplantae; Streptophyta; Magnoliopsida; Poales; Poaceae
Exons: 3
Source: RefSeq, a predicted model, not a curated record
AUAACCCAGCCCCGCGCUCCGCCUCUCCGCGCCGCGCUCUGCCCCGUCUCCUGCUCCCCCGCCUCCUGCUCCGCCGGCCGCCUCCUGCCCUGCCUCGUCGCGGUCCGCCGGCGGACUCCUGUCCCUCCCCGCCUCGCCGCGCUGCGCCGGCUUCCUUCUGCUCCGCCCCGCCUCACCGUGCUCCGCCGCCCGCCUCCUGCCCUGCCUCGCCUCGCUCCGCCGACGGCCUCCUGCCCCGCCCUGCCUUGCCACUCUCUGCCGGGAACCUCCUGCGCCGCCCCGUCUAACCAUGCUCCGCCGGCCACCUCCUGCCUACCACCCUGGAGAACGGCGACAGGCGGCUGCCAACGGACGGAUACAGGCGGAGGAGGGUCAGAGAGGCGCGCAGAAGGCCAAUGAAGUUGGGGGCCACCGGAUCCAGAGUUCGGGAUGGCGCCAUGGUUGCUCGGUGAGCUCCUGCAAGGGAACAUGGUGGGGCGCGAUUUAAAGGGAGAUGUGAGAGAGAAGGAAAAGGGGGUGGGGCAGAGAUUCUGCUGCUCACCGGCGAAUAUCGAGCGCUUGGGCGCCAUGCGCGGCUGCGGGCGAUUGUGGACACAGCCUUAGGCAAGCCGUUGCUGCUUUCGAGUGCGAGUGUCGCUCCGUCGGGUCCGACGGAUGAAGGAUUAGCGGAGGGGCGGGCUGUGGAGACUUCUGGGAGGCUAGUGGAGGCAUUGGCCUUGUCGGAAGGCCGGAGGAGCCGACCGGUGGCGGCUCGCCAUGGCUGCACUGCACGGGAGUGGAGGCAGGCGUUCGAUGGCCAGUCCUUGUGGAUGCAGAUGAGACCCAGCCAUGAUGAACAAAUAGCAGCAAACUGUGUUGGUCUUUUCCUCCUAUCUGAAUUUUCUGCAGAUGGGAUCCAGCCGUGAUAAACAAACAGCAGUAGGCCGUGCUGCUCUUUUAUCUAUCUAAAUUUUGUGCAACUCAGAUCCACCAAGGAGAGAUGGAUGAGGCCGUGCUGCUCCUUUUAUCUAUCUCAAUUGCUAUAUGAAAAGCUCUGAAUUUCCAAUCAGCCAUGGGGGACCGAUCAGAAGCGAGGUCCUUGUUGCUCGUGUCUUCUUCAGCUUGCCAGCGACAGGCAGGAAUCCGGUCAGUGGCCGCUACAUAAGUACAGAUUACGGAAGAGACCUAAGUCCGACCACCGCCCAGCUCCCAGCUACUCGCUACAAUUCGCACAUCCACCUCAACUUGGAUAAGCGCUCCAGGCGAGGUGUCCCCAGCUAAGAGCAGAUCGGGAUCCCAUAGGUCCACCUCUCCACGGGCGUUGGAUCUUUGCCCCCCAGCCGUGGCCACUCCUCAGGUUUGCUGGCUAACGUCACGCCGGUUCCAAGGCAGGUUUCUCCUAGGGGAACCUCCUAGGGUGUGUCCUACGAGGUAGAAGUUUCUUGCUCGGUUCCUAUUGUUUGGGAUGAUCCAGAUGAGAUAGUGCAUCAGUUGCUCACAUGAAGAAACCAUCACAAUGAGAUUCCUCUUCUAAUCUGGCAAGUACUAUUCCUACUUGACUGACGAACAUCGUAUCUGUAGUAUCUCUCUUUGUGCACUGUUGGUUAUGUUGUAUUACUUCUGCGUGUUUUUUUUUCAUAUUUUACCAAUGGAUGUUUGUGUUAGGAACUGAUAUUCACUAGCUUUCAUAUUCUGCUUUAGUUUUUGAAUACUGAAAGUGCAUGUCCAAUCUUAAUAAAGACUGGAAUCAAAAUUGUCUCACAGAUGACUGAUUGAUUUUUUUUAGGGAAUUCACAUUAUUCAUAUAUACGAGUAGGUGACAGUAAUAUCCUGAAGUGCAGAGUUGCUGGGCUAAUUUACUAAUGAAACUCACUAUCAUAUGCUUGGAUGUCUUGAUCACCUCAAGGGACAUUAGGGAGCUCAACUCAGGAAUGUUUAUACUAAAGGUGUAGCUAAAGCAACUUCAUGUCUAAAUACUUGAAACUUUGGCUUCCUUCUUGAAACUUUGGCUUCCUUCCUGUGGUCGUAUGUAUUUCGUUCUUAAGGCUUAUUUUUUUUUCAGUUUAGCAACAAAGGUUAGGUAAAGGCACCCAUAGGUACACCGAAACCUGAAAGUUUCUUUCGCUCUCCUCCCUGCAGAUCUAUGCUUAUUUCCCAAUAGAUGUAGCUUCUUAUAUAAUUAAAAGAUCGUAUUCUGAGUGUGUUCGUGUUCUAAAAUCAGUAAUGGUGGUAUCUUGGUAGAACUAAUGCAUUUCAUUAUGAUUUACUAUCUCGACUUAAAAAACAUUGACUGAUUUUACAGCUGAUGUGCACAUAAUAUACUGCCAUACGUUUUGUAGUAUUAUCCUUUUAAGAACAAGUGCCGGUGCUCUGUUUUGCUAAUCAAAAAGGUGCAGUUUAUUAUUGUCC